AUGGACCAGGACGGAAGCAGUGAAAAGAAUGAAAGACGGACUGUGCAUCUCGUUUGUCCGAUGGAGUGAUCCAGCCUAUAUCCAGAGAAUCAAAAAUGUAACAGAUAUUUCAACGGCGAUUGUCCGAUCAAUGAGAAUUAGGUCGGACCAAAUGAGAACAACCAGAAGACUACAGCCCUAACUGCUAUAGAGACUGAGGGAUGGGUCAGAAGUAUCGUGGGCUGGCAGACCAAUAGUGUGUUGCACCAGGCAUAAUGUCUUUGACAACAUCUGAUUCAAUCAAUAACACAGCAUGUAUGCACUGUUGUAUGUAAUGAUCAAUAUUUUUAUCCUACAAAUAAAUGGAGACAUCUCUGUGUCUUUCUGUAUGUCUAUCAUUCGAUUUUCUCGACAACUGCUCAUCCAAUCGACUUCAAACUUCACGUGUGUAUUGCUGAGGACCCAGGGAAGUGCAAUGUCGACUGUGAAGGUUUUUGGAUCAACAGUUCUCAAGAAACAUAAGAAGAGAAACAUUAAAGGACAUUCGAUUAGAGCUGGGGCCACUCAUCCACGCAGCCGACGUCAUCGAUUACACAACGGCAUGUCUGCGCCCGGUCAUAGCAGGGAU
Xiphias gladius (swordfish) is the source of this 607-nucleotide long non-coding RNA. RefSeq lists it as uncharacterized. The transcript is spliced from 3 exons. NCBI's taxonomy places the organism in Eukaryota, Metazoa, Chordata, Actinopteri, Istiophoriformes, Xiphiidae. The record is from RefSeq and is a predicted model, not a curated record.